GAUGAACGCUGGCGGCGUGCCUAAUACAUGCAAGUCGAGCGAACGGACGAGAAGCUUGCUCCUCUGAUGUAGCGGCGGACGGGUGAGUAACACGUGGAUAACCUACCUAUAAGACUGGGAUAACUUCGGGAAACCGUAGCUAAUACCGGAUAAUAUUUUGAACCGCAUGGUUCAAAAGUGAAAGACGGUCUUGCUGUCACUUAUAGAUGGAUCCGCGCUGCAUUAGCUAGUUGGUAAGGUAACGGCUUACCAAGGCAACGAUGCAUAGCCGACCUGAGAGGGUGAUCGGCCACACUGGAACUGAGACACGGUCCAGACUCCUACGGGAGGCAGCAGUAGGGAAUCUUCCGCAAUGGGCGAAAGCCUGACGGAGCAACGCCGCGUGAGUGAUGAAGGUCUUCGGAUCGUAAAACUCUGUUAUUAGGGAAGAACAUAUGUGUAAGUAACUGUGCACAUCUUGACGGUACCUAAUCAGAAAGCCACGGCUAACUACGUG
This 496-nucleotide ribosomal RNA is filed under the name uncultured bacterium. RNAcentral's name for it is "partial 16S ribosomal RNA". It matches the Rfam family "Bacterial small subunit ribosomal RNA", at positions 28 to 507 of the family's 1533-position model. The record is from RNAcentral.